UACGUAGGGACCAAGCGUUGUUCGGAUUUACUGGGCGUAAAGGGCGCGUAGGCGGCGAAUCAAGUCAGCUGUGAAAUCUCCGAGCUUAACUCGGAACGGUCAAGUGAUACUGCUGUGCUAGAGUACAGAAGGGGCAAUCGGAAUUCUUGGUGUAGCGGUGAAAUGCGUAGAUAUCAAGAGGAACACCUGAGGUGAAGACGGGUUGCUGGGCUGAUACUGACGCUGAGGCGCGAAAGCUAGGGUAGCAAACGGG
RNAcentral lists this ribosomal RNA (253 nucleotides) under uncultured bacterium. Its description in RNAcentral is "partial 16S ribosomal RNA". It matches the Rfam family "Bacterial small subunit ribosomal RNA", at positions 524 to 776 of the family's 1533-position model. The record is from RNAcentral.